GACGAACGCUGGCGGCGUGCCUAAUACAUGCAAGUCGAGCGAAGUUUUUCUGGUGCUUGCACUAGAAAAACUUAGCGGCGAACGGGUGAGUAACACGUAAAGAACCUGCCUCAUAGACUGGGACAACUAUUGGAAACGAUAGCUAAUACCGGAUAACAGUAUUUCUCGCAUGAGAGAUAUUUAAAAGUUGGUUAUGCUAACACUAUGAGAUGGCUUUGCGGUGCAUUAGCUAGUUGGUGGGGUAAAGGCCCACCAAGGCGACGAUGCAUAGCCGACCUGAGAGGGUGAUCGGCCACACUGGGACUGAGACACGGCCCAGACUCCUACGGGAGGCAGCAGUAGGGAAUCUUCCGCAAUGGGCGAAAGCCUGACGGAGCAACGCCGCGUGAGUGAAGAAGGAUUUCGGUUCGUAAAGCUCUGCUGUUAGGGAAGAAUGGAUAUGUAGUAACUAUACAUGUAAGAGACGGUACCUAACCAGAAAGCCACGGCUAACUACGUG
RNAcentral lists this ribosomal RNA (499 nucleotides) under uncultured bacterium. RNAcentral describes it as "partial 16S ribosomal RNA". It matches the Rfam family "Bacterial small subunit ribosomal RNA", at positions 28 to 507 of the family's 1533-position model. The record is from RNAcentral.